UUUGUCCAACAUGAUGCAUUUUGGGGGUUACAUCCAGAAGGUAACAGAGCGGAAAAGUGGGAAGAGGCAGACUGAGCGGGAAAAGAAGAAGAAGAUUCUGGCUGAGAGGAGGAAGGUGCUGGCCAUUGACCACCUGAAUGAAGAUCAGCUGAGGAGAAGGCCAAGGAGCUGUGGCAGAGCAUCUAUAACUUGGAGGCAGAGAAGUUCGACCUGCAGGAGAAGUUCAAGCAGCAGAAAUAUGAAUCAAUGUUCUCCGAAACAGGAUCAACGAUAACCAGAAAGUGUAAGUGUCU
Molecule: long non-coding RNA, 293 nt
Filed under: Homo sapiens (human)
Lineage: Eukaryota; Metazoa; Chordata; Mammalia; Primates; Hominidae
Description: non-protein coding lnc-TNNT2-1:3
Source: RNAcentral